This 595-nucleotide ribosomal RNA is filed under the name fungal endophyte. RNAcentral's name for it is "eukaryotic LSU rRNA". The stretch from base 176 to 329 matches the Rfam family "5.8S ribosomal RNA". Lineage: Eukaryota; Fungi. The record is from RNAcentral.
UUACUGAGUUUACGCUCUAUAACCCUUUGUGAACAUACCUAUAACUGUUGCUUCGGCGGGUAGGGUCUCCGUGACCCUCCCGGCCUCCCGCCCCCGGGCGGGUCGGCGCCCGCCGGAGGAUAACCAAACUCUGAUUUAACGACGUUUCUUCUGAGUGGUACAAGCAAAUAAUCAAAACUUUUAACAACGGAUCUCUUGGUUCUGGCAUCGAUGAAGAACGCAGCGAAAUGCGAUAAGUAAUGUGAAUUGCAGAAUUCAGUGAAUCAUCGAAUCUUUGAACGCACAUUGCGCCCGCCAGCAUUCUGGCGGGCAUGCCUGUUCGAGCGUCAUUUCAACCCUCAAGCUCUGCUUGGUGUUGGGGCCCUACAGCUGAUGUAGGCCCUCAAAGGUAGUGGCGGACCCUCCCGGAGCCUCCUUUGCGUAGUAACUUUACGUCUCGCACUGGGAUCCGGAGGGACUCUUGCCGUAAAACCCCCAAUUUUCCAAAGGUUGACCUCGGAUCAGGUAGGAAUACCCGCUGAACUUAAGCAUAUCAAUAAGCGGAGGAAAAGAAACCAACAGGGAUUGCCUCAGUAACGGCGAGUGAAGCGGCAAC